UGGGGAAUUUUGGACAAUGGGCGCAAGCCUGAUCCAGCCAUGCCGCGUGUCUGAAGAAGGCCUUCGGGCUGUAAAGGACUUUUGUCAGGGAAGAAAAGGCUGUUGCUAAUAUCGACAGCUGAUGACGGUACCUGAAGAAUAAGCACCGGCUAACUACGUGCCAGCAGCCGCGGUAAUACGUAGGGUGCGAGCGUUAAUCGGAAUUACUGGGCGUAAAGCGAGCGCAGACGGUUACUUAAGCAGGAUGUGAAAUCCCCGGGCUCAACCUGGGAACUGCGUUCUGAACUGGGUGACUAGAGUGUGUCAGAGGGAGGUAGAAUUCCACGUGUAGCAGUGAAAUGCGUAGAGAUGUGGAGGAAUACCGAUGGCGAAGGCAGCCUCCUGGGAUAACACUGACGUUCAUGCUCGAAAGCGUGGGUAGCAAACAGGAUUAGAUACCCUGGUAGUCCACGCCCUAAACGAUGUCAAUUAGCUGUUGGGCAACUUGAUUGCUUAGUAGCGUAGCUAACGCGUGAAAUUGACCGCCUGGGGAGUACGGUCGCAAGAUUA
Molecule: ribosomal RNA, 549 nt
Filed under: uncultured bacterium
Lineage: Bacteria
Description: bacterial SSU rRNA
Rfam family: Bacterial small subunit ribosomal RNA
Source: RNAcentral